AUACGGAGGGUGCAAGCGUUAAUCGGAAUUACUGGGCGUAAAGAGUACGUAGGCGGCCUAUUAAGUCAGAUGUGAAAGCCCAGGGCUCAACCUUGGAACUGCAUUUGAAACUGGUAGGCUAGAGUAUGGUAGAGGGGGGUAGAAUUUCUGGUGUAGCGGUGAAAUGCGUAGAUAUCAGAAGGAAUACCAGUGGCGAAGGCGGCCCCCUGGCCCAAUACUGACGCUGAGGUACGAAAGCGUGGGUAGCGAACGGGAUUAGAUACCCUAGUAGUCC
This 274-nucleotide ribosomal RNA is filed under the name uncultured bacterium. RNAcentral describes it as "partial 16S ribosomal RNA". It matches the Rfam family "Bacterial small subunit ribosomal RNA", at positions 523 to 796 of the family's 1533-position model. The record is from RNAcentral.